This 2087-nucleotide unclassified non-coding RNA is filed under the name uncultured fungus. RNAcentral's name for it is "sequence contains 18S rRNA gene, ITS1, 5.8S rRNA gene, ITS2, 28S rRNA gene". The stretch from base 941 to 2087 matches the Rfam family "Eukaryotic large subunit ribosomal RNA", at positions 1 to 961 of the family's 3401-position model. Lineage: Eukaryota; Fungi. The record is from RNAcentral.
GGAAGGAUCAUUACCGGAUCUCGAAUCCGAAUGAACCAAACUUGGGGUUCUCGAGUGCCUGAUUGAUGCGGUAGGCGCCCUGCGCAAUUCCGUGGCAUUCGGACCUAACGGGGUUCUGAGAAACCACCUCUGCCGGGGCAGCUGUGAGUCCCGUGAACGCGGCAGAGUUGGCGACUUGGUUACCUCCUCAAACCUAGGGUUCAUCCUAGUUUGGGUACGUACACCUGGCGUCUUUACAGGAGACAACCCGCCUGUUGGAGACGGGACGUUGGGUAAAAGCUUAGCCAAGCAAUGAUCAGGCUAAGUGUACGUUUGAAGAGGGAGACGAGGGUUUGUCGUGAGACAAAACCUGGGUGCCAUUGUCGUUACCCUUUGCUAGGGUUUCGGCAGCCGUACGUGAACCUAGUACGGGUUGGCCGCUCACACCGGCGCGGAGCUUGCGCCCGUCUACCCGCCCAAACCACCUUUAAACAUUCAAAGACUUUAUACCACUUAAUUAACUAUUCUAAGCGGUGGAUCACUAGGCUCGUGGGUCGAUGAAGAACGCAGCCAACUGCGUGAAUUAAUGUGAAUUGCAGACACAUUGAACAUUGACACUUUGAACGCACAUUGCGGAAGUGGGUUUUUCCCACUUCCACAUCUGUCUGAGGGUGACAUGAGAAUUCAAUUGCCCACUCUGUGUUGGCGCUCCUUCGCGGGGUGUUUGUUGCACCAACAUGGGGAAAAUGGUGGGCAGGUUUGGUUCGCUACUCUCUAACGGGGGUACCGAACUUAAAUACGGAGAGGCGGUUGUUUCUUGGCGCAAGCCUUACCGCUGCCUACUUUAAAGAGGGGAUACUGGUCUGUCUGCCCAGACCGGGUCUGCCGGUGAACUCUCGGCGACCUGGGUGAACGCAAUCUGAGGCUGCCCUUGACAGUACCGUAACCCUGCUUCCUUUCUUCACCUCAGAUCAGGUGUGAUUACCCGCUGAAUUUAAGCAUAUUAUUAAGCGGAGGAAAAGAAACUAACAAGGAUUCCCCUAGUAAUGGCGAAUGAACGGGGAAGAGCCCAGCACCGAAUCCCGCAGUGCCUCACUGUUGGGAGCUGUGGUGUUUAGGCAAGCCUGUCGGGCAUCUCGAGGCAGUCAAAGUCCCCUUGAGGGGGGCCAUGGCCCAUAGCGGGUGCAAGGCCCAUACGACGCUUCUUGGUGUUCGAACGGAGCUGCCGUGGAGUCGGGUUGCUUGAGAGUGCAGCCCAAAGUGGGUGGUAAACCCCAUCUAAGGCUAAAUAUAACCACGAGACCGAUAGCAAACAAGUACCGUGAGGGAAAGUUGCAAAGAACUUUGAAGAGAGAGUUCAAAGGACGUGAAACCGCUUAGAAGUAAACGGGUGGAGCUGCCAUUAUCUUGGUCGGAUUCAGCCGGUCAUGGGUUGACGUUCUGCUCACACGAUCGCAAGACGGGUGAGUGGUUCCGAUCGGCUCUUGGCUGGUGUACUUCCGAUCAGGAUGCGCUACGACCAACUAAGGAGCUAGCUAAAGGCCACUUGAGUGCCGACAGUGGCCUUCGGGUUGCUGUGCCCCCUCUUGUGAGUCUGCUCAGUCUCCCUGGUUGAGUAAACGACCGCAGUCGCUUGAGUCUCAGCUUGCGGUGCUUGAGGUUGAACAAUGCCCAGUUGUGCACGCACGACUAGGUUUGCCUCGGUUUCAUAGCGCUGUAAGACUGAGUCGCUGCAAAUGGUCUGUAGCGUCCGAGUCAGCCAACCUCCCGACCCGUCUUGAAACACGGACCAAGGAGUCUAACAUGUGCGCAAGUCAUUGGGUUGUCUAAACCUAAAGGCGCAAUGAAAGUGAAAGCCAGCUUCCGUUGGCCGAGGUGGGAUCCCCGGCUCGUCCGAGGCGCACCACCGUCCCAUCGCAUCUACUCGUUAGAGCGGUGGAGAAAGAGCGCACACGUUGGGACCCGAAAGAUGGUGAACUAUGCCUGAGCAGGAUGAAGCCAGAGGAAACUCUGGUGGAGGUCCGUAGCGGUUCUGACGUGCAAAUCGAUCGUCAGACUUGGGUAUAGGGGCGAAAGACUAAUCGAACCAUCUAGUAGCUGGUUCCCUC